UUUUCAACGCGCAGCUGCCCGAACAUCAGGCUCAGGUGAAGGUGACCUGCUCCACCGUUUGGGAUCCGCGGCUCUCUCACUGCUGCGAGGACAGAUUGGGAAGCCGUUAUGGCGGCACAGAAGUUGAGGGAGAAGCUAUUUAUCCCAGACGGAUCAGGAGGUGUGUGACGGAGGUGUGGACGGUUGCUGCAGGUCAGUGACGUUGGCAGGCGCCAGGCAGGCCGGCCCACAUGGCUCGGGGACUGUGGGACUACAGACAGAUGGCACCUGGUGGGUGACAAACAAUUAACAAACCAACAAGAAUAGCUGGAUCGGCACUAUACCCACAAGCGCAGGAGAUAGCUAGAGAGCGGGUGCAUCUGUGCUCCGAACAUUUCUGCUCUUUACUUUUUCUCUCCCCGAGACUUGUUUUGUAUAACAGUUGCAAUUUAACCAUGUGUCUUUCUCACAAAAACACCCUCGUCGUUGUGUUGCUUUAGAACGGUCUAAAUAAAGCAGUGCUGAGCAUAUGCA
Poecilia latipinna (sailfin molly) is the source of this 513-nucleotide long non-coding RNA. RefSeq lists it as uncharacterized. The record is from RefSeq and is a predicted model, not a curated record. The transcript has 2 exons. NCBI's taxonomy places the organism in Eukaryota, Metazoa, Chordata, Actinopteri, Cyprinodontiformes, Poeciliidae.